GAUGAACGCUGGCGGCGUGCCUAAUACAUGCAAGUCGAGCGAACAGAUAAGGAGCUUGCUCCUUUGAAGUUAGCGGCGGACGGGUGAGUAACACGUGGGUAACCUACCUAUAAGACUGGGAUAACUUCGGGAAACCGGAGCUAAUACCGGAUAACAUUUAGAACCGCAUGGUUCUAAAGUGAAAGAUGGUUUUGCUAUCACUUAUAGAUGGACCCGCGCCGUAUUAGCUAGUUGGUAAGGUAACGGCUUACCAAGGCGACGAUACGUAGCCGACCUGAGAGGGUGAUCGGCCACACUGGAACUGAGACACGGUCCAGACUCCUACGGGAGGCAGCAGUAGGGAAUCUUCCGCAAUGGGCGAAAGACUGACGGAGCAACGCAGCGUGAGUGAUGAAGGGUUUCGGCUCGUAAAACUCUGUUAUUAGGGAAGAACAAAUGUGUAAGUAACUGUGCACAUCUUGACGGUACCUAAUCAGAAAGCCACGGCUAACUACGUG
RNAcentral lists this ribosomal RNA (497 nucleotides) under uncultured bacterium. RNAcentral describes it as "partial 16S ribosomal RNA". It matches the Rfam family "Bacterial small subunit ribosomal RNA", at positions 28 to 507 of the family's 1533-position model. The record is from RNAcentral.